RNAcentral lists this ribosomal RNA (163 nucleotides) under uncultured anaerobic bacterium. RNAcentral describes it as "partial 16S ribosomal RNA". It matches the Rfam family "Bacterial small subunit ribosomal RNA", at positions 350 to 529 of the family's 1533-position model. The record is from RNAcentral.
UGUUGGUGUAAUAUAUGCACAAUAGGGGGAAACCCUGAUGCAGCAACGCCGCGUGAGCGAUGAAGGCCUUCGGGUUGUAAAGCUCUGUCUUCUCUGACGAUAAUGACGGGACCUGAGGGAGGAACCCCCGGUUACUUCCUGCCCGCCACCGCGGUUAUAUAAA